CCGGGUGUGGCGCAGCUGGGAGCGCGCUUGACUGGGGGUCAAGAGGCCGUGGGUUCAAGUCCCGCCACUCGGACCA
This 76-nucleotide transfer RNA is filed under the name Clostridiales bacterium. Its description in RNAcentral is "tRNA-Pro". It matches the Rfam family "tRNA". From Rfam's summary of the family: Transfer RNA (tRNA) molecules are approximately 80 nucleotides in length. The record is from RNAcentral. Lineage: Bacteria; Bacillati; Bacillota; Clostridia; Eubacteriales. RNAcentral also lists the same sequence under 1 other name.